Molecule: ribosomal RNA, 403 nt
Filed under: Fusobacteriota bacterium
Lineage: Bacteria; Fusobacteriati; Fusobacteriota
Description: Fusobacteria bacterium partial 16S ribosomal RNA
Rfam family: Bacterial small subunit ribosomal RNA
Source: RNAcentral
UGGGGAAUAUUGCACAAUGGGGGAAACCCUGAUGCAGCGACGCCGCGUGAGCGAAGAAGGUUUUCGAAUCGUAAAGCUCUGUCCUAUGGGAAGAUAAUGACGGUACCAUAGGAGGAAGCCCCGGCUAACUACGUGCCAGCAGCCGCGGUAAUACGUAGGGGGCUAGCGUUGUCCGGAAUCACUGGGCGUAAAGGGUUCGCAGGCGGAAAUGCAAGUCAGUUGUGAAAGGCAGAGGCUCAACCUCUGUAAGCAAUUGAAACUGUAUUUCUUGAGAUGUGGAGAGGCAAGUGGAAUUCCUAGUGUAGCGGUGAAAUGCGUAGAUAUUAGGAAGAAUACCGGUGGCGAAGGCGACUUGCUGGACACAAACUGACGCUGAGGAACGAAAGCGUGGGUAGCAAACAGG